This 253-nucleotide ribosomal RNA is filed under the name uncultured bacterium. Its description in RNAcentral is "partial 16S ribosomal RNA". It matches the Rfam family "Bacterial small subunit ribosomal RNA", at positions 524 to 776 of the family's 1533-position model. The record is from RNAcentral.
UACAGAGGGUGCGAGCGUUGUUCGGAAUUACUGGGCGUAAAGCGCGCGUAGGUGGUUGAAUAAGUCGAUUGUGAAAUCCCCGGGCUUAACCUGGGAAUUGCAUUCGAUACUGUUCAGCUAGAGUGUGGUAGAGGGAAGCGGAAUUCCGGGUGUAGCGGUGAAAUGCGUAGAUACCCGGAGGAACACCAGUGGCGAAGGCGGCUUCCUGGACCAACACUGACACUGAGGCGCGAAAGCGUGGGGAGCAAACAGG